CUUCCCGCGGGGUCUGAGGAGUAUUGUCGUGGACGAGGGGAGCGCGGGCUCGGCUGGUGCUGCGCCACGGCCCGAGGAGGCCGCCCCGUCUCUGCCGCUGCAGAGGAACGAGCGGGAAGAGUGGUCCCGAGUCGUUUUCUCCUUCUCCGCGCCCUCCUCGCUACGACAGCCCGCGGAGACCGGGUUUGAAGGACAGGGUGGAAACAAAGAUGCCGGCCCUCUGCCCUUCGGCGAGGCGCGGCCGCCGCUAUUGUCUGGCUGCCUGCCGGAGAGCAGCGGCUCUCUUUUUUGUCUGCCGAACGUGGUGUUUCGGCGGCAGCGGAGGGACUGACGAGGAGGCUUUGUCUGCGGGAAAAGGGCUGUGGCGAAGCGGCGCCCCCUUAAUGGCCGCCGGGCCGCCCUCCGCGGGUUCCGCGCGCGCUCCGCUGGCGAUGUUUUCCGUGUCAGUUAAACCCGGGAAAGUCUGCUUUUUCCUUCCCGACAUUUUCAUUCUGAUUGGAGUCUUGGAGUUUGAGGACUGUCCUCCGCCUAAACUGACUCCAUCUCCUUUAGCGAUUCUGAAACCUGAUGAGACCGAGUUCUCUGUGGACUCUUACCGUACAUCUUUUCUUUUGCUCCCUCAGAAAGAAUUGAAUUGGGAAACCGUGGAGGUGGGCGAGGCUCACCCGGGCUUACAGUCCUGAGAUGUGUUUUGCUGAGUCCCCGCUGGUGCCUCAGACAGGCCUGAGGCACAGGCCUCAGGAGAGGGCUGUGCGGGUUAAAGUUAUCUGGGGAUCCCGUUAGUCUGUGGGGUUUUUUAUGAAUAUCUAGGGAAACUGCCUGACCAGAGAAGGUGGAGGCAGCUGAGCCUCAGAAAGGGGCUUCCAGUCCGCUGCGAAGGCGUCUAUUGUUUGGUUACGCGACAGCGCUCAGUGACGGAAGAGAGGGCAGGACGGUAUUUUUUUGAGAGCACCGAAGUCCAGCUUGGGCUCGCAGCUUGUGACUGCUGAUCUCCCCUUUUGUUUCCCUUCGUAGCCUUUCUUGCCACCUGCUAGAUGUUGCAUAUUUUACAUAUUUAUUGUUUGGCUUUUCUCCGCCACUUGAUCUAAACCUGGGAGAGCAGAGAGGUGUUUUGUUCACUGGGGUUCCCUGGAGCCUAGCACAGUACCUGGCAAAGUACUGGGCGGGGGCGGACUUCGUAAAUAGUUACUGACUCAGUGAAUGAAAAACACAUGACAUUAUUUAAAGGCAUCGUGAGAGAAGCACGAAACCGAAAGCCACUUGACACAAGAAAAGUUGAUCUCUUCAGACCUGCUCUUUUCGUUUCGGAGCAGUCAUUGGUGAUAGGUGAAUGUAUCUUGCAUGUUCAACCUGUGACAGAGAACUUGACCCAUGGAGGGCAUGCAAAUAUCAUUGCAAGAGGACCUGUCAGAGUUAUGGAAAUGAAAGAUAAGGAACAUGAGGCCCAGAAAGAGGAACUUACCAAAGGAUACUCUGUUAGUGACAACAUCAGGAUUGCAACCCAGUCUUCUGACCACAGUCUUCCUCUAAUCAAAUUGGGGAAAAGGAUUCCCCAGGCCUGUGUCCCACUGAGGCUCACUUAGACGUAAGCAUGUCUGAAAGUGGAGGCUGGACCGUGAGAGCUGUCAGUAUCCCUUUGUACUCCAGAAGUUUCCAGGAGUCUCCAGUGCUCAGAUUUCUGCACUCUGUUCCUAGUUCUGAGAGACUAUGGACAAGUUCCUGUAAGUCCUCUGUAAGUCAGCGCCUGUAAUAAAGGUGAAUGGAGCAAUAUUUAUACAUAGAUGCGAACACUGUGUGGAAGAAAUAAGAGAAGAGCAGCUUUGCUGCAGCUAGAUUUGUCUACUGUGCUGCCUCUGGGUUUUCUGCGAGGGUGCUUCCUAGGAAAGGGCAAGGAGGUCUGUGGAUCUAGAGAAACGUUAUUAUUCACUUAGGUCUUACUAAAGUAAUAAACCCACCUUUUAGGCUCGUAAGGUAAGAAUUAUUACUAGCUUUCAUAAAGUGCGCCACAGAGUAAGAUAAGGUUGAAAUAAUAAAAAAUAGUACUGCCACUCAUAGUAAUAUGCAAAUGUUAGAACAUAUUUAGGGAAUGUGAAAAAAUGAAUACAGUUCACGCUCUACCUUUACUAUACUGUCUUUACUCUGAAAAAAUUAUUUCAAACCUUGUCCAAAGUGUCUCAGACAUUUAUCAGAUGUAUCCAACUCCUUUGAUGCCAAAGAACCUUUCAAAAAUUAUCUGUGAGAGACGGCAGAAUGCUGUGGCCUGAAAUGAUUUGUGGCUGGUACAUAAGAGAGUAAUACCCUGCUGAUCUUGAGCAAUUACCCAGAGAACUACGGACUUGAACUGUGGAGGGACUCUGAACUUUUUGCUAACCCUAAGUCACUUUUGGAAUUAGUUCCUGUAACACUAAAAAUGAAUGAUUCAGCAAGGGAAGUUUUUUCAAGAGAACAUCACUCUGAUAGACUUCUGAAGCUUGGAGUUUUCUUCAUUUUACUUUUAGGUUGUUGUCAUUUCCCCAUUUUUCUGUUACCUGUAUCUUAAAAAUUAUUAUAUAGUAAGCAUCUUAUUAAGUGAAGGGACACUGGUUUGCAUCUUGAAUUUGUGGUUUCUGUCUCAAAGCUGCUGUUUGAGAGGAGCCUGUUCUUUCACAGACUUGAAGGGCAGUUGCAGAAUAACUCCACUGGCCUGACACUAAUGCCAGGUGGAAAGUGAUGCAUUUAUGGAAAUAAUUCAAGCCAAAGAAAUCUACUCUUGUUUGGAUUACCCCAGCUGGGCAGUACUUUGCUCCUGAAUGGAUUCCCCUUGGGUUAAGUUGGGUUAAAGAGGGCAAAACAAUAUGGGAUAUAAGGGAAUCAGCCCAGGGUUCUCUUAGAGUUUAACCUCAGCAAUCCUAUAAAACUUAGCUUGGUCUAGGCCAGGCAUUCUCAACUAAAGACCAUUUUAAAAGUUACACUUUCACUCCAUGGUUGCCAUGUUUUGAAAUAUCUGGAUUACCCAAAAUGUAGUAACCCUAGUAGCUUUUACCAAGGUCCAUGCACAUUUUGGUAAGGUUUUUUUGAUAGUGCUGGGAACCAUGGACAGAUCACCGGUGCUACCGUAAGAGCUCAGGAACCCGGCAUGAUAGGAAACUCACAAGGGCGAUCAGCCAAGACUGCUAGAUCUUCUGCGUCCCUGCCAACCUGGCUCCCACUCCACUGUCACCAGUGUUCCUCUGGAACCCAUGGUGGUUUUAAUCACCUCCUAUUCACGCCAUUGGUGAGGGAGGUGUUCGCACCCUAGAGUUAUGGGGACGGCCAGACACACAACCCCUGACACUGGACAGAAGAGAUUGACAGCAGUUUAUUGGUCACCUACACUCACAGCUGGGAGGAGGAGGACACUGCACGCAGGGCCACGUGCAGGUUGCACUCGAGGAUGGAAUGAACAACCAUGACUUGUGUGGGUAGGGCCGACUUCUUUGUAGCGUCAAGAGGGUGAAGUUCCCCCUGAUUCCCAUGGGAGGAUGUGACUGGCUUAUUUGAAUUCUGAGGGCUGGCAGGGAGCUGAAACCCACCACUCAGGGAUUAGCACCUGGUCCAUUUAAUGAGGGUUGUUUGGCUGGGGGACCUUAUCCUCCGGAGCAGAGUGAGGAGGGGAACUUGUGGUUAGGCCAUUUGAGGUCCCCCAUUUUUCCCCAGAUGUCAAGACAUGCAUAAUAUUGGGCCUUAAUUUUAGGCCUUAUGCCACAAUAGCCAAGUCAGGACAUUAUGUCUAGACCACCGUCUACAAUGUCCUCUUACAACUGGGAGGGAAAAAAAAGGUGGACUGAGGCAAAGGGUGCAAAAGCCAAAUCUUUCUAGUUAAUACUUCCAGUUAGUCACAUAGCAAAUGCUCACUGAAUAUCUUCACGUGCCGGCACUAGACUAGGCCUUGAGACUUACAGGUGAAUGGAGCCCAGUCCUAUUUUGAAAAAGUCAAAUGGAGGAGAAACGGAGGACGUGAGCAGAUGGUCAUACUGAGCGACAGAUGCGGGAGCCAAGAUCUGUGCCUGUGCCGUGAGAGAACAGUGAUGGGGGCAGGUCAUCCGGGGACGAGGGCCCGUGGCCCCUGAGCUGGCCUUGAAGGAUGAGAAGGGGUUUGCCAGUCAGAGACGGGAGAGAUGGGGGCAUCAUAUCAGAGGGACCAGCAUGACCAAAGGUGGAAAUGAUCACGACAUGGUAAAAAUAAGUGACAAAUAGUCCCGCAAGCAGGGGGAGGGGUGGGUGUUGUUAGCCUAGUGAUUGGGGCAGGAUUGACACAGCCUCAGAGAGGCAGCCUGGGAUAGGCAGGAACAUUGUACUGCGAGGGCCGCCCUGGAAGCUUCUGCUUCUGUCACCCUCCUUCCCCACAUUUCCCUCCAGUCCUCUGUCUCCUGCAGGCACCUUGUCAUGUUGCAGAAUCAGAUUCUGCCCUUAUCUUACUGGGAGCGGGGGUGAUGGGAGCAAGGUGAGAGGCGAUGAGAGGAGUGUGCUAAGGGGACCGGAAUAAACUUCGCUCUCCUGACCAUCUCACCGAAGGCCGCCUCUGAGUACCUGUGUAGCGUGUUGUGCCAAAGGUCCCAGGCACAGGCCAGACCAGCUGGGCGCUGCCCAGGCUGUGUCACGAGCGCUCAGAUCCCCCGACCUCUCUCUCCUGCUGCUGCUUUUGGCAUCUUCUCCACGUCCUGCCCCUGCUCCCCUUGGCCGGGACGGUCAACUCUGUGCAAGCCACGGGAUCCUCUAGAGACUCAGGAGGCGGGAACCAAGCAGCUAGUUUUCCCGGAGCAGAAAUAAGGUAGAGGGGAUUAACGGUAUUUUUAUCCAGUUCAGGAGCUCUGCCAUCAGCGGUCCUACUUUAGACGGAUAGAUCUGCAAGCUGUAUUUACUUUCUUAUACAAUGUUCUGCUUUCACAUGUGCUGAUAUCUUGGAUUGGAAAUUGCCUUCCCUUCAUCUCUCCCUAGGUUCUCAUCUGGAAAACUCCUACUCUUCUUUCAAAACCUGAUUCAAAAGUCACCUCCUUAAGAAGCCUCCCUCUGGCAAGCUAGUUUCUUCCUUCUGGCACUCCCUUAGCAGCUAUUUUACACUUUUUAAAAAACACUGAACACAUUGAUUAUAAUUCUGUUUGCAUGCAUUUUCUUCACUCUUAUCUAAAUUCCUGAGGCAGCUUUGUUUCCAUAACAACCAGCCAUAACAGACAUGUACAUAGUAGGUAUUCGGAAAACUUGAAUAAAAAGCCAGAGAACACAUUAGAAUAAAAAUCAUACAUAUGGAUCAAGCUUCCAACUACCAAUUUAUAGAAAAUAGAGUACAGAAAAAGAUGUUUUUCUUUACCUGCCACGCCAGGAUAUAAUCAGCAAAAUCCUGAGAGAAGAACCCCUUUAGGACAAACACCCCAGUUUCCUGGAAAAUAAAUUACAAAGGGGGAAAGAGAGUUGGAGGAGGACCAGUCAUUUAAAAGAGACUUAGGAGACCCAUCAAACAACUGCAAAGCAUGGACUUUACUCAGAUCUUGAUUUUUAAAAAAUAUUAGAUUAUGACACGUAUGAGACCUUGGAAAUUUGAAUGUGGGACAUUUUUUUGUGUGUGUGUGUGCGGUACACGGGCCUCUCGCUGCUGUGGCCUCUCCCGUUGCGGAGCACGGGCUCCGGACGCACAGGCUCAGCGGCCAUGGCUCACGGGCCCAGCCGCUGCGCGGCAUGUGGGAUCUUCCCGGACAGGGGCACGAACCCGCGUCCCCUGCAUCGGCAGGCGGACUCUGAACCACUGCGCCACCAGGGGAGCCCUGAACGUGGGACAUUUGAUGACUUUAAGGACUGAUUGUUAAUUGUUUCAGAUGUGAUAAUGGUGAUAUGUUGAUAUGUUUACUUUGAAAAGAAAGUAGUCAUUAUAUUUUAGAGAUAAGUUCUGAAAUGUUUAUGAGUGAAAUUAUAUGUCUGGAAUUUGCUUCAAAAUAAUAUGGGAGGGAAGAAGUGGAUGAGAGUGUGAAUGGGGCAGGUUUGGCCAUGGGGUUGAUGGUUGUUGAGGCUGAGUGAUGGGUGGACACAGAAAGAAUCACCCUAUACAUAUUUUUAUGUAUGCCUGAAAUUGUUAUUGCAUUAUUUAAAAACAAUAAAAAGUCUUUAAAAUU
This is a long non-coding RNA of Physeter macrocephalus (sperm whale), 6122 nucleotides long. RefSeq lists it as uncharacterized. The transcript is spliced from 3 exons. Lineage: Eukaryota; Metazoa; Chordata; Mammalia; Artiodactyla; Physeteridae. The record is from RefSeq and is a predicted model, not a curated record.